UACGUAGGGCGCAAGCGUUAUCCGGAAUUAUUGGGCGUAAAGGGCUCGUAGGCGGUAGUUCAAGUCAGGUGUGAAAUCCGACGGCUUAACCGGAGGACUGCACCUGAUACUGGGCUGCUAGAGGUAAGGAGAGGAAGGUGGAAUUCCCGGUGUAGCGGUGAAAUUCGUAGAUAUUCGGAGGAACACCAGUGGCGAAGGCGGCUCACUGGCUCGAUACUGACGCUGAGGUGCGAAAGCGUGGGGAGCAAACAGG
RNAcentral lists this ribosomal RNA (253 nucleotides) under uncultured microorganism. RNAcentral describes it as "partial 16S ribosomal RNA". It matches the Rfam family "Bacterial small subunit ribosomal RNA", at positions 524 to 776 of the family's 1533-position model. The record is from RNAcentral.